RNAcentral lists this ribosomal RNA (377 nucleotides) under uncultured eukaryote. Its description in RNAcentral is "partial 18S ribosomal RNA". It matches the Rfam family "Eukaryotic small subunit ribosomal RNA", at positions 592 to 976 of the family's 1831-position model. The record is from RNAcentral.
CAAUAGCGUAUAUUAAAGUUGUUGCAGUUAAAAAGCUCGUAGUUGGAUUUCGGGGCAGCCUGGCUGGUCCGCCGCAAGGCGAGUACUGGUCAGCCGCCCUUCCUUUCGAAAGCCCCGACUGCUCUUCGUUGCAGUGGUCGGGUAGUUCGGGACGUUUACUUUGAAAAAAUUAGAGUGUUCAAGGCAGGCCUACGCCUGAAUACAUUAGCAUGGAAUAAUGGAAGAGGACCUCGGUCCUAUUUUGUUGGUUUCCAGGGCCGAAGUAAUGAUUAAGAGGGACAGUUGGGGGCAUUCGUAUUUAAUUGUCAGAGGUGAAAUUCUCGGAUUUAUGAAAGACGAACAACUGCGAAAGCAUUUGCCAAGGAUGUUUUCAUUAA